Carassius auratus (goldfish) is the source of this 1619-nucleotide long non-coding RNA. RefSeq lists it as uncharacterized. The record is from RefSeq and is a predicted model, not a curated record. NCBI's taxonomy places the organism in Eukaryota, Metazoa, Chordata, Actinopteri, Cypriniformes, Cyprinidae. The transcript has 4 exons.
AGGAUAGCCGAAAAUAUCCAUGGAAAAAAUAGACUUGGUUAGCAGAGGCAUGCCCCUCUUUUCUUCUUUUGCACUUAAAUGUUUUAUUGGGUCAAGUUUUGUUUUCCAACUUAUAUAUAGUUUGAGUGAAUAAGAAUGUGAAGAAUUCAUUCCCCACAACUGUUUGAGUGCACAGAGGUUGCAUGUUCUGAGUUUGCUAUUUGAUUCCAAGCAAAACUACAGGAUACAUAAACUAUGUUAUUUUUAGUUUGUCACGUCCAAGAUUAACAUGAAUUUUUCUAACCUACAGUGCAGGAGUCACAAGUGUUUUCUCAACUGUCAAGCAGCUGAAUGCUGUCUCUCACUGUUGUUUUCCCUAAUUUCAGAGUUUAGCUCCAAACCUAAUUAAUAGCAGACCUGAGCAGCUGAUCAAGGAAUCAGUCUAGAAGUCAUCCUGCCUCUUUGAUUGGUCGUGUUCAGAACUUGUUGCAGAAAAACAGCGAGGCUAAAGCAUUCAAAGUGUAAACAUCUGCUGUGGCUCAUUAAUCCAGAAUUGGGAUGGUGGAAGAAGCUGAAGAACCAGAAGCAUUGGAGCAUAAAUGUAGAACUUUUUAAUGAAAUCUGAGAAAUUUUUUAUUUAUCACGAGAGCAACAUGAAGAAUCAGUGUUGCGUUGGUGUGAGCUCGCCAGAUCUCACGGUGCAUUUGUGAAAAUGUGUUGGGGAUACAUCAAGAUGGAAACAUGAGCACCUGAAUGAAAGAGUUAAUAUAAAAGAAGGUGUUUAACUAGAAUAAUAAAAUGCCAGAAUAAUAAUACCUAGAUACUUGGAUACAACCAAUUUGCAUUCCAACCUAAAUUCGAGGUCAGAUUAAAUAAUACAAUGGAGUCAGAUUAGAUAAUAAAAUGGAGUCAGAUUUGAGUUGAACCUAAAUUGAAUAACUCUACCUGCUGAAAGAUAGAACAGGCAGGAAACCUUCAACCAGCACCAGAUAACUUCCUUGGGCCGAGUGGCUGGACCUUACAGCAACCAAGAUAUUUCACAAUUGGAAUAUCAGGUAUUUCAUUAUAUAGUGAGCAUGUUUUGGGAACAUUUUGAAUAAAACCGGAACAAUGAAAUAAAAGCGAUCCAUGUGUCAUACAGAUAUAUUUUGGCUGUGGAUGUGUGCUCAGGGCAUGUGCAGAGCAGCUUGCAGGGGUCUUCAGACAUUUUCAACCUGUCCCUCAACCAAGCAACUGUGCCAACAUGUUUUAAGUCCACAUCCAUUGUGCGAGUACUUUAACACUCCUCCCCAAUGUGCUUAAAUGACUACCACCGCGUAGCACUCACACCCAUCAUCAUGAAGUGCUUCGAGCGACUGGUCCUGGCACACCUCAAUGACUGCCUCCCACCCACACUGGACCCACACCAAUUUGCCUAAAGCAGAAAUAGGAGCACAGAGGAUGCAGUAUGCACAGUGCUGCACUCUGCACUCACACACUUGGACAAUAACAACACAUAUGCAUGGAUAUUGUUUGUUGACUCAUUCCCUCCAAGCUGACCACAAAACUUGGAGACCUGGACAUUAACACCUCCCUCUGCAACUGGAUUAUGGACUUUCAGACCAACAAGCUUCAGCAUGUUCGGUCAGGCCACACGCACU